UGAAAUGCGUAGAGAUCUGGAGGAAUACCGAUGGCGAAGGCAGCUUCCUGGCAUCAUACUGACACUGAGGCUCGAAAGCGUGGGUAGCAAACAGGAUUAGAUACCCUGGUAGUCCACGCCGUAAACGAUGUCUACUAGUCGUUGGGUCCCUUGAGGACUUAGUGACGCAGCUAACGCAAUAAGUAGACCGCCUGGGGAGUACGGCCGCAAGGUUAAAACUCAAAUGAAUUGACGGGGGCCCGCACAAGCGGUGGAGCAUGUGGUUUAAUUCGAUGCAACGCGAAGAACCUUACCUGGUCUUGACAUACACAGAAUCUUGUAGAGAUACGAGAGUGCCUUCGGGAAUUGUGAUACAGGUGCUGCAUGGCUGUCGUCAGCUCGUGUCGUGAGAUGUUGGGUUAAGUCCCGCAACGAGCGCAACCCUUGUCCUUAGUUACCAGCGGGUUAAGCCGGGAACUCUAAGGAUACUGCCAGUGACAAACUGGAGGAAGGCGGGGACGACGUCAAGUCAUCAUGGCCCUUACGACCAGGGCUACACACGUGCUACAAUGGUAGGUACAGAGGGCAGCUACACAGCGAUGUGAUGCGAAUCUCAAAAAGCCUAUCGUAGUCCAGAUUGGAGUCUGCAACUCGACUCCAUGAAGUAGGAAUCGCUAGUAAUCGCGGAUCAGAAUGCCGCGGUGAAUACGUUCCCGGGCCUUGUACACACCGCCCGUCACACCAUGGGAGUUGAUUGCACCAGAAGUGGUUAGCCGAACCUUUUAGGACGGC
Molecule: ribosomal RNA, 771 nt
Filed under: Psychrobacter celer
Lineage: Bacteria; Pseudomonadati; Pseudomonadota; Gammaproteobacteria; Moraxellales; Moraxellaceae
Description: bacterial SSU rRNA
Rfam family: Bacterial small subunit ribosomal RNA
Source: RNAcentral